AACGAACGCUGGCGGCAUGCCUAACACAUGCAAGUCGAACGGGAUCCUAGCUUGCUAGGUGAGAGUGGCGGACGGGUGAGUAACACGUGGGAAUCUGCCUUUUGGUUCGGGAUAACCGCGGGAAACUGCGGCUAAUACCGAAUGCCCUCGUGAGAGGAAAGAUUUAUCGCCAGAAGAGGAGCCCGCGUCCGAUUAGGUAGUUGGUGGGGUAAAGGCCUACCAAGCCGACGAUCGGUAGCUGGUCUGAGAGGAUGAUCAGCCACACUGGGACUGAGAUACGGCCCAGACUCCUACGGGAGGCAGCAGUGGGAAUAUUGGACAAUGGGGGCAACCCUGAUCCAGCAAUGCCGCGUGAGUGAUGAAGGCCUUAGGGUUGUAAAGCUCUUUUGCCAGGGAAGAUGAUGACUGUACCAGGAGAAUAAGCCCCGGCUAACUUCGUGCCAGCAGCCGCGGU
RNAcentral lists this ribosomal RNA (454 nucleotides) under uncultured bacterium. Its description in RNAcentral is "bacterial SSU rRNA". It matches the Rfam family "Bacterial small subunit ribosomal RNA", at positions 29 to 521 of the family's 1533-position model. The record is from RNAcentral.